Molecule: ribosomal RNA, 193 nt
Filed under: uncultured bacterium
Lineage: Bacteria
Description: partial 16S ribosomal RNA
Rfam family: Bacterial small subunit ribosomal RNA
Source: RNAcentral
CCUACGGGAGGCAGCAGUGGGGAAUAUUGGACAAUGGGCGCAAGCCUGAUCCAGCAAUGCCGCGUGAGUGAAGAAGGCCUUCGGGUUGUAAAGCUCUUUCAGUCGAGAAGAAAAGACUGCGGUGAAUAACUGUAGUUCAUGACGGUAUCGACAGAAGAAGCACCGGCUAACUACGUGCCAGCAGCCGCGGUAA